AUACGGAGGGUGCAAGCGUUACUCGGAAUCACUGGGCGUAAAGCGCGCGCAGGCGGCUAUUUAAGUUGGGUGUGAAAGCCUACGGCUCAACCGUAGAACUGCAUCCAAAACUAUUUAGCUAGAGUGUGGGAGAGGAAGAUGGAAUUAGUUGUGUAGGGGUAAAAUCCGUAGAGAUAACUAGGAAUACCAAAGGCGAAGGCAAUCUUCUGGAACACUACUGACGCUGAGGCGCGAAAGCGUGGGGAGCAAACAGGAUUAGAAACCCUAGUAGUCC
This 274-nucleotide ribosomal RNA is filed under the name uncultured bacterium. RNAcentral's name for it is "partial 16S ribosomal RNA". It matches the Rfam family "Bacterial small subunit ribosomal RNA", at positions 523 to 796 of the family's 1533-position model. The record is from RNAcentral.